GUAAAUAUGAGGAAAUAAAUCUAAAUUUAUUCUAAACAAACAUAGAUCUAUGAAUUUAUUAAAAAAAUAGAAAAUGACAAAAAUAAAAGAAAAAAACCAAUCUGGUGGCAGUGGUGGCAGCCACUGCUGAGUUGUGGCUACCUAAAAGGGACAUGAGAAAAAGAGAAAAAAUAUAUGAAAAAUGAGAAAGGGAAAGAGAUUUUGUCGAAUAUUAAAAUAUUUAAAUUUGAAAAAUACUUAGAUUAAAUAAACAAAAUCAUCUGAAUUGUUUGACUAGUCAUGAAAUUGGUUUUGCAUAUCACACAUGGUUUUUAAAAUUGCAUGGAAGGUUAAAAUUAAGUUGAGCCAUCAAUAUUUAACCAAUAAGGCAUGUGUGGUGCGUUUAGUUCAGGUAGGAAAAUAAGUUUCUGGUCACAUUCCUAACAAACUUUGGCUGCUAAUAAAUAUUCACACAUGCUAAGGAGAUCAAGAUAUAUAAAUAAAUAUAAAAGGAAACUUACCAGAAUUGAGACAAGAGAGCAGAUUCAAAGGUUGGAGAAAACUCAAAAGCUGUCUUGGUGGAAUGAACAG
RNAcentral lists this unclassified non-coding RNA (570 nucleotides) under Hevea brasiliensis (rubber tree). The record is from RNAcentral. Lineage: Eukaryota; Viridiplantae; Streptophyta; Magnoliopsida; Malpighiales; Euphorbiaceae.